GGCUCCGUGGCGCAAUGGAUUAGCGCGUCGGACUUCUAAAGGAGAUAAGUUAUUCGGAGGCUGUGGGUUCGAGUCCCACCGGAGUCG
This is a non-coding RNA of Lingula anatina, 87 nucleotides long. The record is from Rfam. Lineage: Eukaryota; Metazoa; Brachiopoda; Lingulata; Lingulida; Lingulidae.